Maylandia zebra (zebra mbuna) is the source of this 348-nucleotide long non-coding RNA. RefSeq lists it as uncharacterized. The record is from RefSeq and is a predicted model, not a curated record. NCBI's taxonomy places the organism in Eukaryota, Metazoa, Chordata, Actinopteri, Cichliformes, Cichlidae.
AGCUGAGCUCAGGCAGGAGAUGGGGCUGAGAUGGAGCAGCAGCAGUAGCCAUACUGCCGUGCAACAACUGUUUCAGCACUGAAACUGUUGACCUGCUUGCCAGCAGGGCUCCCUGCAUCUACUGAUUGAAAACAGCAAGGCUCAAAGGCUUACACUGGACAUGAAGGUAAAACUCCAGUGGGUUCAGGCCAGGGUAAAGUGCACUUCUGGGAUCGCUUACCAACCCCUUCAGUAGCUGAUCCAGGAACUGGAGUCUGGAGAUGAUUAAUCAUCAUAUGACCAACUCUGAAAACUGAAAACAUCUUAAAGAUCUAACCUUCUCAUGUCCCCAUUUUAUUGUUUUUUCCA